AAACCGCUCGGAGGCAAACGGGUGGGCCCUCGAAAGGUCGAACGGGGGGAUUCAGCCCCGUCGGUGUCAACUCCCGUGAUCUGCGGUUCGUUCCUCGUCAAAAGGAUCCGAGGGCACCUGACCGCAGAUUUCUUUCGGAGGCCGGCAGGUGCCACUUCCCCCUCAGUAGGACGCCGCGACCGGUCGGGAGAUUCAAUCGGCGGCCAUACGGCGAGGCAAGGCAGGUAUCCGUUGCCGGUAGGUCCACCUCCAGUUCGCUGGGGGACUCGGGCUCCGGUCGGAGUUACAGCUAGCCACGUCCCGGCUCCGCCGCCCGACCGAGGAAAAGACUGUACAACGUGCUCGCUCUGCGAAGCCGGCCUGUAACAGGGCCGGCCGAAUGCGCGGUUUGCCUUUCCGGCAGGCUGGGUUCUCGGUUGCCGAACGCCCCUGGCUGGCGGUCGGCGGCAUCUUUGAGGCCCGCCGUUGGCACGGAUUGACACGGCUUCCGCUGCGGCACUUGGGGUCUGCGGCGAGUAGGUCGGUCGCCCACCCGACCCGUCUUGAAACACGGACCAAGGAGUCUAACAUGUGCGCGAGUCAAUGGGAUUGCUUUGGCUAAACCCACGGGCGCAAUGAAAGUGAAAGUUUGACAAAAAGUAGCGGGAUCCGUCGGGAACCCCGUCCUCUCGGGGGCGGGGCCCCGCGGCGCACCGCCGGCCCGUCUCGACCGCAUCGCCGGUGAGGCGGAGCAAGAGCGUACACGUUGGGACCCGAAAGAUGGUGAACUAUGCCUGGGCAGGACGAAGCCAGAGGAAACUCUGGUGGAGGUCCGUAGCGAUUCUGACGUGCAAAUCGAUCGUCGGACCUGGGUAUAGGGGCAAAAGACUAAUCAAACCGUC
Molecule: ribosomal RNA, 881 nt
Filed under: Mandibulata sp. NZAC 03013117
Lineage: Eukaryota; Metazoa; Arthropoda
Description: eukaryotic LSU rRNA
Rfam family: Eukaryotic large subunit ribosomal RNA (bases 554-881)
Source: RNAcentral